Non-coding RNA from Acanthosepion pharaonis, 100 nucleotides. The record is from the annotation of a GenBank genome assembly. Lineage: Eukaryota; Metazoa; Mollusca; Cephalopoda; Sepiida; Sepiidae.
CAUUGAAACACUUCUUCCUGUUUGAUCACUGAAGUUAAGCAAUGUUGAGCCUAGUCAGUUCAUUGAUGGAUGACUGUUUGGGAAGACCCAGUGCUGUAAG